This 420-nucleotide ribosomal RNA is filed under the name uncultured bacterium. RNAcentral describes it as "bacterial SSU rRNA". It matches the Rfam family "Bacterial small subunit ribosomal RNA", at positions 356 to 773 of the family's 1533-position model. The record is from RNAcentral.
AAGGAAUAUUGGUCAAUGGUGGGAACACUGAACCAGCCAUCCCGCGUGCAGGACGAAGGCCCCCUGGGUUGUAAGCUGCUUUUACCAGGAAAGAAACGAGUGGUUUUAACUGCUCCUGACGGUACCUGGGGAAUAAGCACCGGCUAACUCCGUGCCAGCAGCCGCGGUAAUACGGAGGGUGCAAGCGUUAUCCGGAAUCACUGGGUUUAAAGGGUGCGUAGGCGGCUUGGUAAGUCAGAGGUGAAAGCUUCCCGCUCAACGGGAGAACUGCCUUUGAUACUGCCAGGCUCGAAUUGGGUUGAGGCAGGCGGAAUGUGGCAUGUAGCGGUGAAAUGCUUAGAUAUGCCAUAGAACACCGAUUGCGAAGGCAGCCUGCCAAGCCUUGAUUGACGCUGAGGCACGAAAGCGUGGGGAGCGAAC